AUUGAACGCUGGCGGCAGGCUUAACACAUGCAAGUCGAGCGAGCGGCGGACGGGUGAGUAAUGUCUGGGAAACUGCCUGAUGGAGGGGGAUAACUACUGGAAACGGUAGCUAAUACCGCAUACCAUCAGAUGUGCCCAGCUGGGAUUAGCUAGUAGGUGGGGUAAUGGCUCACCUAGGCGACGAUCACUAGCUGGUCUGAGAGGAUGACCAGACACGCUGGAACUUAUACACUUUCCAGACUCCUAAGGGAGGCAGCAGUGGGGAAUAUUGCUCAAUGGGCGAAAGCCUGAUGCAGCCAUGCCGCGUGUUUAAAGAAGGCCUUCGUGUUGUAAAGCACUUUCAGCGAGGAGGCGUUACUCGCAGAAGAAGCACCGGCUAACUCCGUGCCAGCAGCCGCGGUAAUUC
This 406-nucleotide ribosomal RNA is filed under the name uncultured bacterium. RNAcentral's name for it is "partial 16S ribosomal RNA". It matches the Rfam family "Bacterial small subunit ribosomal RNA", at positions 30 to 526 of the family's 1533-position model. The record is from RNAcentral.